UAGAUCAUUGAUCAUGCAUGCGCCGCGUGCAUCAUAUCUAUGAUCUACGUAUCCAUCUACUACCAUGUAAUGCCACCUGAUCGAGGGUCUUUGUAUGUAUGUAGUAUGUACGCACCUGCCUGCAUGAGCAGAGCGGGUGCCAUUCCAUGCAUGUAAACCCCUAAAUAAAAUCUCCCGUGGUUUUGCUUACAUCGUGUUGUUAGAUCCUCCUCCUAUUAGUGUUGCUUUCGGGUUCUUCUUAUGCACUAGCAGGAUCAGAGGCCGGUCUUUUGUUCUUGGUCUUCUCCUCAAACUGUCGUUUUCCUCUUCUCUAUGGUUCCAUGUGCGGCAGUAUUUUCUUCUUCUGUUGCCGAGUGUUGUAUCAGACUGUACCUUGUUUUGUGGUUUAUUCCUAUCCAUCUCGAAAUAUAGUGCAGGAAUUUAUUUGCAAAAGGUGGAUCUCAACAAGACACGACGGUAUGUGUAUCUUGCAGGAUUUAUUGAUCGGUCUAUCUUAUGCAUCUUAUUAAAAAAAUACAUUAAGGUCUCAUGGUCAAGCCAAAUUAUCAUUGUUUUUCCUUGCAUGCAAAAUGCAGCAAUAAAUCUUCGUCCUUGGCUUGUUUCUCAUUUCACUGCCUACGUUGCAGGUAUCCGACCCUGUUGGAAUCUCCUUUUCUGUCAUUGUGUUCACUUUCUGUGAUGUGAUGUGUGCGCAAAUAUUCCCACAACAACAACAUAAUAAUAAAGCCAUAUACGCAAGCAACCGAAUAAUGGCAAUGAUAUAUUACUGCUCAAGGCGCAUCUCCAAAUCAACCUGUCAUGUCCAUGGCUGCGUCUAAGCACUCGGGGCAGAAAUACUCACUCUCCGCCACUGAUUCAUAUCACCGAAUCCACACGGCCAAAUUACGUCCUCCAUGUUUUAAGCGAUGCCACUAUAUCUCGUGGGAAAAUUGUUUCCACAGUUCGAUAUCCCUCCCUUUGAUGAAAAAAUUCACGCUUGGCUUCUGCAUCACAGAGUGCAGAUAACGAAUAUUGUUUUCUAUGUUCUGAACUGGAACACUAUAUCUUGUGUAAAAAAUUGUGUCAACAAUAUCGAUAUUCCCUCCUAUAAAAUAAAAUCAUCAAUAGCUCACUUCUCUAUAUAACUGGAUGCAAAGUAAUGGGCGGUGUGGAGCACCCAAGACAGCACGCAAAAUAUCGGUGUUAUUUUAACUCCACUACGUAGACAAGUCACUAUAUUUACACAAUUAUGUAAGAAAAAGAGCUCUUUUAUGGUACCCUGUAUUGAAUAUUGACCGUCCAUCUGCAAAGAUCCAAUGGUGGGUACUUAUCUGUACUGGUGAAACUGGAUUAGCAGCAUCGCUAGUACCGCACGUCUCACGUCCACCGGUAUACUGCUCGGAGGGCAUUAUCGGUGACUCUGCAUCACCGGCAGCCGCCCGCCGGGGCUCGCCUCCUCUUCGCCCCCAUGCCCGCUGGGGCGCCUCCUCCCUGCCUUUAAUCCGCUGUGCUAUGCAUGCUUCUAUGGUUUUGGACUUCUGGCAUGGCACCGUGCGCCCCAUCCCCCUUCCACGCUACGGCCGCGAUGUUCUUUGCCGCCCCGCAUGGCUGAGCAGUGAGCACCUUAGCAUCGCGUUUAUUGUGUUGCCUCGUUCAUGACGACAGUGCAUGCCAAACCACCCUGCGUUGACGAUGAGGCCAGGAUGUGUACAACGUCGUGGUCUUCACGGAGAGCUGCGGCUACGAGAGUGCCGGAGCCUGGCGGAACCUCGCCUAUUUUGUGCUAACCAUGCCCUCGCUACGCUCAUGGCCGUCCUCCUUUAUUUUACUACCGCUUGCCUUCAUGAUCGAGCUCUUCAUGGCCUGGAUCACGCUUUACUUUAGCCUCAGCUUGCCGGACGUGGAGCAGCUACUCAUCUGCCUUUGCUGUGAGGUCGACGACCACGUCAUUGUUCAAAAGCUCACCCAGGCAGGGCUCAACAUACCUGUUUCCUCGUCGUCACCCCGCUGUCACAGACUCACAGGAGUGCACGAUGCAUUCCGAAAUAUUGAUUCGCCAGAGCAAUUCCCUUCACGAACACAAGAAGAGCUUUCACCGUCACAUAUACUGCUCCCUCCCCAGUAGCAGUAUAGGGUACCAUAAAAACCCUCAAGAAAAAUAAAUAACUCAGAGAACUGUCUGGCCAUAGAUGGAGCUUUCUACAGAUGGGGACAAGAAUUUGGCACCACCCACUCAAUUUCCCUCUCACCUUUUUGCAUUGCUUUCAUAUGUAAAAAAACAAAAACAAAAUAGUGAGUUGACUUGCGAUCUGCCUUAAAAUGACAAGAUGACGGUUGGGGGUUAAAAAAACAUUCAAAUGCAUUUUAUAUAUUCAUAUGUUUACUUAUUUUGUAUUUGUUUGUGCAUGUCAUAAAAAUCAUCAAUUUCCACAAGCAUACAUAAUACUCAAUGAUCUACAUUGACAAUAGGCUUUGAGAUUUUUCAACGCAUGACAAGAAAAAUCAAAUGAGGUCAGCUGGAAAUUAAAGAUCAGUUUUGACUUCCAAAAAAUUAUGAUCUCUUUUGUCCAAACUUAAAAGGAAUCAUUACAGAAAAUUUGGAGAUUCCAAUUGUUAGAAUAUUUUCCUACAGGACUAGUAGGGCUGGGAACCAUAAUGAUAUUUUCUAUGGCCUAAUUGACAUGUUUAUGUUGAGCCAAAUCUUUUGGAAAUAGUUUCGUUGAUUCAGUGACAACUAUGUGCUUGCACCUAACGCUUGAGAAAAUUCUUGUAUUUUUUCCCUCUUGCAAUAAAUCAACAUCCAUAUUUUACGCAUUUACUCCAUCUUCAAUUCCCACAGAAUUCAACACAGCAUGACCUGAAAUCUGUGUGUUAAGUUUUCCGGUUCCUGUCUUUUUAAAAUGCUGCAAAAGUAUGUGGCAUGUAAUCUUUAAAAAUAGUGGGAGUGUGAUAGUUAUUGAAAUGCAUGUAGGAUGGAAACUAAAAUUUCAGUAAAAUUCAGCUUAUAACACUAAAAUUGAAAAGGUUGCCAAGCCUAUGGCAACCAAGAGCCGCCAAGAUUUCUUAAAUAACAAAUAUUUUCGGCGACCUCCCCCAAAGAAGACAUAGCUUUUUCCUUGUCUUGACAUUCAAAAGCACUGAGUGAGGGGUAUCGGCUGAAUAUAUUCACUAAGGGCAUGCACAAAAGAGAGUUGACUAUUAUUAUUUUGCAAUGCUUUCAGAAUUUAGUUUGAUAUUGGUUUAAUUCAUAGUUCAUAAUUUACCGAGAAAUACCACUACGAGGUCAAGCACCCCUAAACUUGACCGUUAUGGCUGCAUGCAUCAAUGUAUGCCGAGGGCCGCGCGCGGGGGGUCUUGUUUGGAAAAUAAUAAUGAUCUUAUAGUGCAAUGAUUGGUCAUUGCCUAAGGUAUUUCCCUCUGUUCCAAGAUACAAGGUGUAUUUUUUAUUAAAAAAAACAAAAUUCCCUAUGUUUGACCAAAUUUAAAAUAAAACGUCUCUGUGUUUGGAAACCAUUUAUAUUUUUAUAAGCUCGAUCAAACAUAGAAGAUUUGACUUCAGAAAAAAAAAUAGUACAACUUAUAUUAUGAAACGGGAGUUAGUAGGUACACCAAUAAUUCGAUAUACGCACAAAAUGCUGGCUGUAGUUCCUUUCAUGGCUCCUUUGAUGUAAGAAAGAUGCUAGUAGAGACUAGAGACAAAGGGAAUCAAAUUAUGGGAGGAGGCGGCCCUAUCUAUAUUCCUCUUCCCCAAGCGGUUGCUCCCGUCCAUCCUUUGCCAAAAGUGGAGCAUCUCCCAUUUCCUUCUUCAUCUUCUCCUCCUCCUCCUUCCUUCGUAUUCACUCACCUAUAAAUAGCCCUCGCUGCCUGCCAUUGUUACUCAAGCCAGCAAGCAAGAAGCACAAAAGAAGCCAACACCAAUCAAGGCCUCCAUCCAAUCCCAAGCAACCUCGAAGAUGUCUUGCUGCGGAGGAAGCUGCGGCUGCGGCAGCGCCUGCAAGUGCGGCAACGGCUGCGGCGGCUGCAACAUGUACCCCGAGGUCGAGGCCGCCGGCGCCACCCUCCUCGUCGCCGCCACCGCCACCCACAAGGCGUACGUCCCUUCUCCUUCCUCAUAUAUCAUGCACUCGAUCGUAACAAUAUGACUGUAUGUUGAUCUUGGUAUGGGUGGGGUACGUGCAGGAGCUCCGGCGGCAUGGAGAUGGCGGCCGAGAACGGCGGCUGCGGCUGCACCCAGUGCAAGUGCGGCACCAGCUGCGGCUGCUCCUGCUGCAGCUGCUAGAUCAUCGGUCAUGCAUGCACCGCGUGCCUCAUAUCUAUGAUCUAUCUAUAUAUCCAUCUACCACCAUGUAACGCUACCUGAUCACGGUCUUUGUAUGUAUGUACGCACCUGCCUGCAUGAGCAGAGCAGGUGCCAUGCCAUGCAUGUAAACCCCUAAAUAAAAUCUCCCGUGGUUUAACCCCCUAUACAUGUGUUUGUGUUAUAGUCUUAUAGACCAACUUCUGGCCCAUGUUUACUAUGAACUUGCGACUUGCGAGGUGCCUGGGUUGUUAAUAGACCAGCUGGAUGCUCUCUUGAAGCAACGUAUGCACCGCUUGGAGUCGGUGUAUCUUUAUACACAUGUAUUUAUUUUACAGGUGUAUAUCAUCGGCCACACCUGGG
RNAcentral lists this long non-coding RNA (4639 nucleotides) under Triticum aestivum (bread wheat). RNAcentral's name for it is "long non-coding RNA (TAES_LNC026544)". The record is from RNAcentral. Lineage: Eukaryota; Viridiplantae; Streptophyta; Magnoliopsida; Poales; Poaceae.